RNAcentral lists this ribosomal RNA (37 nucleotides) under uncultured fungus. Its description in RNAcentral is "partial 28S ribosomal RNA". RNAcentral also lists the same sequence under 1 other name. Lineage: Eukaryota; Fungi. The record is from RNAcentral.
UUGAUCUCAAAUCAGGUAGGACUACCCGCUGAACUUA